AAUAUUGGACAAUGGGGGCAACCCUGAUCCAGCCAUGCCGCGUGUGUGAAGAAGGUAANCGGUAUNUNAAGCACUUUAAGUAGAGNGAUAGGGCUUUAGGCUAAUACCCUGAAGUUUUGACGUUACCAACAGAAUAAGCACCGGCUAACUCUGUGCCAGCAGCCGCGGUAAUACAGAGGGUGCAAGCGUUAAUCGGAAUUACUGGGCGUAAAGCGCGCGUAGGUGGUUCAGUAAGAUGGGUGUGAAAUCCCCGGGCUUAACCUGGGAACUGCUUUCAUAACUGCUGAGCUAGCGUACGGUAGAGGGUAGUGGAAUUUCCUGUGUAGCGGUGAAAUGCGUAGAUAUAGGAAGGAACACCAGUGGCAAAGGCGACUACCUGGACUGAUACUGGCACUGAGGUGCGAAAGCGUGGGGAGCAAACA
This 422-nucleotide ribosomal RNA is filed under the name uncultured bacterium. RNAcentral's name for it is "partial 16S ribosomal RNA". It matches the Rfam family "Bacterial small subunit ribosomal RNA", at positions 360 to 774 of the family's 1533-position model. The record is from RNAcentral.